AGAGUUUGAUCCUGGCUCAGGACGAACGCUGGCGGCGUGCCUAAUACAUGCAAGUAGGACGCACAGCCUAUACCGUAGCUUGCUACACCAUAGGCUGUGAGUUGCGAACGGGUGAGUAACGCGUAGGUAACCUGCCUAUUAGAGGGGGAUAACUAUUGGAAACGAUAGCUAAUACCGCAUAACAGUAUGUAACACAUGUUAGAUGCUUGAAAGAUGCAAUUGCAUCGCUAGUAGAUGGACCUGCGUUGUAUUAGCUAGUAGGUAGGGUAAUGGCCUACCUAGGCAACGAUACAUAGCCGACCUGAGAGGGUGAUCGGCCACACUGGGACUGAGACACGGCCCAGACUCCUACGGGAGGCAGCAGUAGGGAAUCUUCGGCAAUGGGGGGAACCCUGACCGAGCAACGCCGCGUGAGUGAAGAAGGUUUUCGGAUCGUAAAGCUCUGUUGUUAAGGAAGAACGAGUGUGAGAAUGGAAAGUUCAUACUGUGAC
Molecule: ribosomal RNA, 491 nt
Filed under: Streptococcus sp. oral clone BP2-41
Lineage: Bacteria; Bacillati; Bacillota; Bacilli; Lactobacillales; Streptococcaceae
Description: bacterial SSU rRNA
Rfam family: Bacterial small subunit ribosomal RNA
Source: RNAcentral